AUACGGAGGGUGCAAGCGUUAUUCGGAAUCACUGGGCGUAAAGGACGCGUAGACGGGUUGGCAAGUCAGAUGUGAAAUCCUACAGCUUAACUGUAGAACUGCAUUUGAAACUGCUAACCUAGAGUAUGGGAGGGGGAGAUGGAAUUAGUGGUGUAGGGGUAAAAUCCGUAGAUAUCACUAGGAAUACCGAAAGCGAAGGCGAUCUCCUGGAACAUAACUGACGCUAAGGCGUGAAAGCGUGGGGAGCAAACAGGAUUAGAUACCCUAGUAGUCC
RNAcentral lists this ribosomal RNA (274 nucleotides) under uncultured bacterium. RNAcentral's name for it is "partial 16S ribosomal RNA". It matches the Rfam family "Bacterial small subunit ribosomal RNA", at positions 523 to 796 of the family's 1533-position model. The record is from RNAcentral.